CCGUUGAGUGCAGCGUUGAUG
This 21-nucleotide microRNA is filed under the name Hordeum vulgare. RNAcentral's name for it is "hvu-miR397a". Its record names the gene hvu-miR397a. Lineage: Eukaryota; Viridiplantae; Streptophyta; Magnoliopsida; Poales; Poaceae. The record is from miRBase by way of RNAcentral.